Long non-coding RNA from Dreissena polymorpha, 748 nucleotides. RefSeq lists it as uncharacterized. The record is from RefSeq and is a predicted model, not a curated record. The transcript is spliced from 3 exons. Lineage: Eukaryota; Metazoa; Mollusca; Bivalvia; Myida; Dreissenidae.
CGCCUCGGCAGGAUUACGAUUUCGUACAUCGGGUUUUGGGUCAGAGUUGUUAGCAUUCGAUACAAACGCUAUCAAAAAAGUGGGGUUUAAAAUACAUUUUGAUAAUAGGGAUGGAAAUACAGAAAAUGGAUUUCGACAAAGGGAUGGAAGAACAGAAAAUUGAUGUGUAUAUUGUAAAUUUAUUGUUAUAAGCAGUAGAUUAAAGCUGUCAUUAAGAUGCAUAUGCUGCGGGACCGGACGGAUGAGAACAAUUUAAGAGUCCCCAAGGAUCAUACCUAUUAAGCUUUGUGAAAGUCGUGAAGGGGAUGUCGGUUGAAUAAAACAUUCACGAACGACACACGACUUAUCAAAGGCGAAAUCGGAACCUCACUCUAAGCGUAUGUUGUCCACAGAUGUCUGCAUCGCAGGUGGAUGCCUGUCUUUCAAGACCAAUAAGUGGUGUGAGACAACAAAUGUUGGCAUGCGCCUGCACAACCUGUACUUUGAAUUAUUCAUUUCCGCUGAUAGAUGAAGAAGUUGGGGACAUGAUCAAUCCUGCGGUAACUAACAACACACCAAUACAGGGAGCAGCGGUAAAUAAGAGGCAUCAGCUGAUCGAACUGUUUAGUUGAAAAUGUUGUAAAGUGAUAGUUAUACAUAUUCAAAGUGAUAUAUUGCCGUAAUAAUAUAUAUUCUCCAAAUAUCCUUGAUAUGAUGCUCUGUUAAAUAAUCAAGUCUCCACACCCUUAAAACUGUUAUUUAUGUUAAA